UGGUGGAGCCAUUGGGUUUAAUUCGAUGCAACGCGAAGAACCUUACCUGGUCUUGACAUACAGAGAACUUUCCAGAGAUGGAUUGGUGCCUUCGGGAACUCUGAUACAGGUGCUGCAUGGCUGUCGUCAGCUCGUGUCGUGAGAUGUUGGGUUAAGUCCCGCAACGAGCGCAACCCUUUUCCUUAUUUGCCAGCACUUCGGGUGGGAACUUUAAGGAUACUGCCAGUGACAAACUGGAGGAAGGCGGGGACGACGUCAAGUCAUCAUGGCCCUUACGACCAGGGCUACACACUGCCUUACAAUGGAA
RNAcentral lists this ribosomal RNA (307 nucleotides) under Acinetobacter radioresistens. RNAcentral's name for it is "bacterial SSU rRNA". It matches the Rfam family "Bacterial small subunit ribosomal RNA", at positions 931 to 1235 of the family's 1533-position model. The record is from RNAcentral. Lineage: Bacteria; Pseudomonadati; Pseudomonadota; Gammaproteobacteria; Moraxellales; Moraxellaceae.